Molecule: ribosomal RNA, 459 nt
Filed under: uncultured bacterium
Lineage: Bacteria
Description: partial 16S ribosomal RNA
Rfam family: Bacterial small subunit ribosomal RNA
Source: RNAcentral
UCUACGGGCGGCAGCAGUGAGGAAUAUUGGUCAAUGGGCGGGAGCCUGAACCAGCCAAGUAGCGUGAAGGAUGACAGCCCUAUGGGUUUUAAACUUCUUUUAUAAGGGAAUAAAGUGCCCCACGUGUGGGGUUUUGUAUGUACCUUAUGAAUAAGCAUCGGCUAAUUCCGUGCCAGCAGCCGCGGUAAUACGGAAGAUGCGAGCGUUAUCCGGAUUUAUUGGGUUUAAAGGGAGCGUAGGCGGUUCCAUAAGUCAGCGGUAAAAUCGUGCGGCUCAACCGUACCGUGCCGUUGAAACUGUGGGACUUGAGUAUGCGCAGGGUACAUGGAAUUCGUGGUGUAGCGGUGAAAUGCUUAGAUAUCACGAAGAACUCCGAUCGCGAAGGCAUUGUACCGGAGCAAGACUGACGCUGAGGCACGAAGGCCAGGGGAGCGAAAGGGAUUAGAUACCCUUGUAGUC